Molecule: ribosomal RNA, 279 nt
Filed under: uncultured bacterium
Lineage: Bacteria
Description: partial 16S ribosomal RNA
Rfam family: Bacterial small subunit ribosomal RNA
Source: RNAcentral
UGCCAGCAGCCGCGGUAAUACAGAGGUGGCAAGCGUUGUUCGGAUUUACUGGGCGUAAAGGGUGCGUAGGCGGCAUUGUAUGUCGGACGUGAAAGCUCACGGCUCAACCGUGAAAUUGCGUCCGAAACUGCAAAGCUAGAGUACAGGAGAGGAGAGUGGAAUUCUCGGUGUAGCGGUGAAAUGCGUGGAUAUCGAGAGGAACACCAGUGGCGAAGGCGACUCUCUGGACUGAUACUGACGCUGAGGCACGAAAGCUGGGGUAGCGAAGAGGAUUAGAUA